CUACGGGGUGCUCCAGUUAGGAAUAUUCUGCAAUGCGCGCAAGCGUGACAGAUUGAACCAGAGUGUUUUUCAAAUGAAAAGCUUUUGCCAAGUGUAAAAAGCUUGGCGAAUAAGGACUGGGUAAGACGAGUGCCAGCCGCAGCGGUAGUACUCGCGGUCCAAGUCGCAGCCAUUUUUAUUGGGUCUAAAACAUCCGUAGCUUGCUUGGUAAGUUUCUUGUGAAAUUUUAUAUCUCAAAUAUAGAGCGUGCAAGAAGUACUGCCUAGCUAGAGACUGGAAGACGUAAGAAGUAUGUUUGGAGUAGCGGUAAAAUGUGUUAAUCCCAGACAGACUAACAACAGCGAAGGCAUCUUACGAGGACAGUUCUGACAGUAAGGGAUGAAAGCUAGGGGCGCAAAACGGAUUAGAUACCCCUGUAGUC
RNAcentral lists this ribosomal RNA (421 nucleotides) under uncultured archaeon. RNAcentral's name for it is "partial 16S ribosomal RNA". It matches the Rfam family "Archaeal small subunit ribosomal RNA", at positions 323 to 746 of the family's 1478-position model. The record is from RNAcentral.